This is a long non-coding RNA of Oxyura jamaicensis (ruddy duck), 451 nucleotides long. RefSeq lists it as uncharacterized. The transcript has 4 exons. The record is from RefSeq and is a predicted model, not a curated record. NCBI's taxonomy places the organism in Eukaryota, Metazoa, Chordata, Aves, Anseriformes, Anatidae.
GGUGUCCCCAAGCCAAGGAGGUGACUGAGCCACCAAGGUGUCCCCAAGCCAAGGAGGUGACCCCGAGCCACCAAGGUGUCCCCAAGUUGAGGAGGUGACCCCAAGCCACCAAGGUGACCCUGAACCACCAAGGUGUCCCCAAGCCAAGGAGGUGACUGAGCCACCAAGGUGUCCCCAAGCCACUAAGGUGACCCCGAGCCACCAAGAUGACCCCAAGCCAAGGAGGUGACCUCGAGCCACUAAGGUGUCCCCAAGUUGAGGAGGUGACCCCCAAGCCACCAAGGUGUCCCCAAGCCAAGGAGGUGACCCCAAGCACCAAGAUGACCCCAAGCCACCAAGGAGGUGACCCCAAGGUGAUCCCUGAGCCACCAGGGAGGUGACCCUAAGCCACCAAGGUGUCCCCAAGCCAAGGAGGUGAUCCCUGAGCCACCAGGGAGGUGUCCCCAAGCCA